This 569-nucleotide long non-coding RNA is filed under the name Phoenix dactylifera (date palm). Its description in RNAcentral is "long non-coding RNA (PDAC_LNC001322)". The record is from RNAcentral. Lineage: Eukaryota; Viridiplantae; Streptophyta; Magnoliopsida; Arecales; Arecaceae.
AAAUCUUCUCUCCCUUCUUUGUUUCUUUCUUCCCGUGGGAUUUGGCCUGUGAGAGCUUGGGACCAGCCGGCUCCCUCCUUCCGAAUGCCCUCAUCUUCAUGCAUUGCUUCCCUUUUAUAGCCUUCACCCGCCCCCCUUUGGAAUCAAUCUGGAACCUUGGUGGACAGCUGGAUGCGGGAAGAUGAACUCUAUCUUUGAAGCAGGGGAUAAGGAUGAAAGCGGCUGGAUGGAGAUGGGAUUUGUUGGCCGCGGAAGAUCCGGACGCGGUAGAAGUUAGAGCUGGAUCCGAAGACUCUAGGAGAUACUCACGGACGCUGCGAUGAACUUGGAAGGGAGUGAUCCACGAAGUGGAAAGAUGCCUGUGUUCUGUUUCCGAAACAGGGGAAGACACAUUUGGUUGCCGUGAAGCUCGGGACUCGGGAGGAUGAAGUCUGGGAAUCCGCUGAAACGAGAUCCUUUGAUGAUCACGAGAUGGGAAGAGAUCUUUGGGUGAUGCAGAUGAAAUAUGGGAGGUAAAUCAGUUCGGAGUUUAUCCAUGGAUAUACUGGGAUUAAUCCGGACGAUGGCUG